GAUGAACGCUGGCGGCGUGCCUAAUACAUGCAAGUCGAGCGAACAGACGAGGAGCUUGCUCCUCUGACGUUAGCGGCGGACGGGUGAGUAACACGUGGAUAACCUACCUAUAAGACUGGGAUAACUUCGGGAAACCGGAGCUAAUACCGGAUAAUAUAUUGAACCGCAUGGUUCAAUAGUGAAAGACGGUUUUGCUGUCACUUAUAGAUGGAUCCGCGCCGCAUUAGCUAGUUGGUAAGGUAACGGCUUACCAAGGCAACGAUGCGUAGCCGACCUGAGAGGGUGAUCGGCCACACUGGAACUGAGACACGGUCCAGACUCCUACGGGAGGCAGCAGUAGGGAAUCUUCCGCAAUGGGCGAAAGCAUGACGGAGCAACGCCGAGUGAGUGAUGAAGGUCUUCGGAUCGUAAAACUCUGUUAUUAGGGAAGAACAAAUGUGUAAGUAAAUAUGCACGUCUUGACGGUACCUAAUCAGAAAGCCACGGCUAACUACGUG
Molecule: ribosomal RNA, 497 nt
Filed under: uncultured bacterium
Lineage: Bacteria
Description: partial 16S ribosomal RNA
Rfam family: Bacterial small subunit ribosomal RNA
Source: RNAcentral